This 515-nucleotide long non-coding RNA is filed under the name Calidris pygmaea (Spoon-billed sandpiper). RNAcentral's name for it is "lncRNA (ENSCPGG00000012130.1)". The record is from RNAcentral. Lineage: Eukaryota; Metazoa; Chordata; Aves; Charadriiformes; Scolopacidae.
CCCAUUAAUAUCAGUGGGAAUCUGCCUUCAUCUUCAGUGGGAACAGAGCUUCAAAGACACAGGAAUCACCCAUAGAACCUGAAGGAGUUUCACAUCCUUGGCUUGACCACAGUCUUUCUCCCAGCGCUGCCAGAGUGGCUGUUGGUGUGUGGGCAGCUUUGCCAGAAGAACCUCUCUGAGGCAGGACCAUACAGGAGCUGGGCAGAGAAGAACCUCCUCUUGGGCUGCAUAACAAGACACAGUAUCAAGUCACUGUAUGAUGACGUGCAUAAUGUACAACCCGGAGAGGCUGUUACACUCUUGAUGGUGCCCUCAUUUUAAAAAAUCAGCAUGUAUGUAAUCAAAGAAAUGAGGAACGAAGUAUGUGAUUUGGCUGCUUUGAAAAUCAUAUAGUAAUGAUUUUUGUGUUUGUGGGCUUAGCUUGGUAGCCCAUCUAAAAUGACUGUCAGUAGAUAGAUUGUGCAAUGAAGAUGAAACACAGUAUUGCAGGUAAGAAACUAAUUUUUAUUUCACAG